GACGAACGCUGGCGGCGUGCUUAACACAUGCAAGUCGAACGGGCCCGCCCCUGUUUUUGGGGGUGGGUUGAGUGGCGAACGGGUGAGUAUCACGUGAGUAACCUGCCCCCUGCUCCUGGAUAACUGCUUGAAAGGGCGGCUAAUACGGGGUGUGCCGGCUGGUCCGCGUGGGCCUGGUCGGGAUAGUUUCAUCUUCGGGUGUUUCGGUGGGGGAUGGGCUCGCGGCCUAUCAGCUUGUUGGUGGGGUGAUGGCCCACCAAGGCGGUGACGGGUAGCCGGCCUGAGAGGGUGGGCGGCCACACUGGGACUGAGACACGGCCCAGACUCCUGCGGGAGGCAGCAGUGGGGGGUAUUGCACAAUGGGCGGAAGCCUGAUGCAGCGACGUCGCGUGAGGGAUGGAGGCCUUCGGGUUGUGAACCUCUUUCUCCGGUGGGGAAGGCCCUGUCCGUUGCGGCGGGGUUGACGGUAGCCGGGUAUGAAGCGCCGGCUAACUACGUG
RNAcentral lists this ribosomal RNA (499 nucleotides) under uncultured bacterium. RNAcentral describes it as "partial 16S ribosomal RNA". It matches the Rfam family "Bacterial small subunit ribosomal RNA", at positions 28 to 507 of the family's 1533-position model. The record is from RNAcentral.